GCAAACAUGCUGCAAAAAAUUACAGAACAUAUAAAAAUCAUCUUCAGGACCAUUAUCAGCAGUCCAUGAAAAGACUCAAAUGUCAGCCUCAAGCUAACACAGCUUUUUUUUUUCUUUUUUUUUUUUUGGGUGGGGGGAGUAUCAUUCCUUCCAAUAAUCAAAAUGGGGUUUCUUACCAAAUAAAAAAUAAGUGUUAUUUGAACCCUUCUACAUAAUAAGUAACACACAUUUACAAUGUUUAAAAACUGCUUUUAGUUUAGUAAUAAAGUUAAAGAAAUUGUUCUUUGAAAAUUUAAAAAAGUCAGUUACCCUUUUACAAGGCUUCAGAAUUCACAAAAUACUACUCCAAAUAUUUUUGUGGGACAACUUAAGGUGUGAAGAAACUACACCUGUGGUUAAGCUCCUGGUUCUUGCUUCUUUUGCAAAAUUUCUUCUAACAUGCUCCAUUUCCAAAUUACAGAGAAAAGAGAUUGAGGCCUAGAGUUACUGUUUUCUUCAUUUUGGCAAAAGCAUGUGCAUUUUUAGAGCAAUACUUCAGUGCACAACAGAGCCACCACAAGAAACCAAGGUACAGAAGGUGCUUUCCUUGGGCCUUUUCUUCAAAUCAUAUUCUGUCUGAAUGAGCUCAACAGCAGGACAGAGCACCAUAUAUCACAUACUUUGUACAUACCUUACAGAUUUGAGACUGAGCUAACACUAGCCAGACAAUCAACAUCUGGCCCAACUGUAUUGAGUCUGCAUGGCCAGGUUUUGGUAUUGGGAGGGCCGGAAGAUGCUAGAAGCUUUCCCGAUGUCCAGCAGAGCCAAUCCCUGGUGGCUCCAAGAUGGAUGUGCUGCUGGCCAAGGGUGGGCCAAUCAGAAGUGAUGGUAAUACCUUUGUGACAACAUAUUUCAGAAGAAUAAAAAAAACCCAAACAGUUAUCAUGCAGAAUGUAAUUGCAUCAAGAGAAGAGUGAAGUGAGAGUGAGAGGAACAACUCUGGAGACACCAACGUCAGUGCAGAAGGAAGGGGAAGAGGUGCUCCAGGCACUAGAGCCGAGCUUUCUCUGCAGUCCAUGGUGCAGACCAUGGUGAAGCAGCGGUGCCCCUGCGGCCCAGGGAGGACCACACAGAUGCAGAGAUCCACCUACAGCCCACGGAGGAGACCCACACCGGAGCAGGUGGAUGCCUGAGAGGAGGCUGUGACCCUGUGAGAGGCUCACACUGAACAGGCUCCUGGCAGGGACCUGCAGACCUGUGGAGAGGUUUCCUGGCAAGACUUGGGACCACAUGGCGGACCAAUGUUGGAGCAGGCUGUGCCUGAAGGACUGCACCCCAUGAGGGAAGAGUGCAGGAAGAGUGACCCAUGUUGCGGCAGUUUGUUGAGUUUGUUGCCCAUGAGAUAGAUUUAUGCUGGGGAAGUCCAUGGAGAAGCGUCUCCCAUGGGAGGGACCCCACACCAGAGCAGGGGAAGGACUCCUCUCCCCAAGCAGCA
Molecule: long non-coding RNA, 1474 nt
Organism: Corvus hawaiiensis (hawaiian crow)
Lineage: Eukaryota; Metazoa; Chordata; Aves; Passeriformes; Corvidae
Exons: 3
Source: RefSeq, a predicted model, not a curated record